RNAcentral lists this ribosomal RNA (274 nucleotides) under uncultured bacterium. RNAcentral describes it as "partial 16S ribosomal RNA". It matches the Rfam family "Bacterial small subunit ribosomal RNA", at positions 523 to 796 of the family's 1533-position model. The record is from RNAcentral.
AUACGGAGGAUGCAAGCGUUAUCCGGAUUUAUUGGGUUUAAAGGGUGCGCAGGCGGAAAAUUAAGUCAGUGGUGAAAUCCUACAGCUUAACUGUAGAACUGUCAUUGAUACUGAUUUUCUUGAGUGCAGUUGAGGUAGGCGGAAUGUGUAAUGUAGCGGUGAAAUGCUUAGAUAUUACACAGAACACCGAUUGCGUAGGCAGCUUACUAAACUGUUACUGACGCUCAGGCACGAAAGCGUGGGGAGCGAACAGGAUUAGAUACCCCAGUAGUCC